GAUGAACGCUGGCGGCGUGCCUAAUACAUGCAAGUCGAGCGAACGGACGAGAAGCUUGCUUUUCUGAUGUUAGCGGCGGACGGGUGAGUAACACGUGGAUAACCUACCUAUAAGACUGGGAUAACUUCGGGAAACCGGAGCUAAUACCGGAUAAUAUUUUGAACCGCAUGGUUCAAAAGUGAAAGACGGUCUUGCUGUCACUUAUAGAUGGAUCCGCGCUGCAUUAGCUAGUUGGUAGGGUAACGGCUUACGAAGGCAACGAUGCAUAGCCGACCUGAGAGGGUGAUCGCCCACCCGGGAGCUGAGCCGGCGACAAGACUCCUACGAGAGGCCGCAGACGGGAAUCUUCCGCAAUGGGCGAAAGCCUGACGGAACAACGCCGCGUGAGUGAUGACGGUCUUCGGAUCGUAAAGCCGUGUUAUUAGGGAUAAACAGAUGUGUAAGUAACUGUGCACAUAUUGACGGUACCUAAUCAGAAAGCCCCGGCUAACUACGUG
This 497-nucleotide ribosomal RNA is filed under the name uncultured bacterium. Its description in RNAcentral is "partial 16S ribosomal RNA". It matches the Rfam family "Bacterial small subunit ribosomal RNA", at positions 28 to 507 of the family's 1533-position model. The record is from RNAcentral.